RNAcentral lists this ribosomal RNA (253 nucleotides) under uncultured bacterium. RNAcentral's name for it is "partial 16S ribosomal RNA". It matches the Rfam family "Bacterial small subunit ribosomal RNA", at positions 524 to 776 of the family's 1533-position model. The record is from RNAcentral.
UACAGAGACUGCAAGCGUUAUUCGGAUUCACUGGGCGUAAAGGGUGCGCAGGCGGUCGGGUGUGUCAGAUGUGAAAUCCCGAGGCUCAACCUCGGAACUGCGUCUGAAACUACUCGACUAGAGUACUGGAGAGGGUAACGGAAUUCACGGUGUAGCAGUGAAAUGUGUAGAUAUCGUGAGGAACACCAGAGGCGAAGGCGGUUACCUGGACAGUUACUGACGCUCAGGCACGAAAGCAUGGGGAGCAAGCAGG